Molecule: long non-coding RNA, 4118 nt
Organism: Photinus pyralis (common eastern firefly)
Lineage: Eukaryota; Metazoa; Arthropoda; Insecta; Coleoptera; Lampyridae
Exons: 4
Source: RefSeq, a predicted model, not a curated record
AGUGUAUGUAAAAAAAGUGCCCUCCUUCUUUAAUUUUUUUUGUUUGUCAGCCGUAACAUUUGGAUCAUGAGGAUUUUUGGAACCCUCUACGUUACCACAGCAGAUCCUCCAUGAUCCUCGUUUACACCGAAUGUAGUCCUUAUACCUGCGCUGAGCGAUUUUGGAAUCACCCAGUCCACAGGCAGCUUAAUUUUCGCAUGACCCUGUAUAGAGCCUGCGAACCAUCUUACGAACCUUUUCAAGGUUUAAGUUCCAACGAGGUGUUCUAUUCGUUCAACGAAAGGUCCCCAGUUUCCCGCUGACCUCAUGAGGCCGUUAUGUCGUCGCUUACUAAUGCGGCCGCCUCUUACAUCUACCCUGCUUUGCGGCAGAGCUAAGGUGUCCAUCCAACCGGCGCAUACCAUAUACGUCUAAUCAGACACCCUCCAAACCGUCAUCAUUGAAAAGGAGCCCAGCGUCAGAUCGAUAACCUCUUGCCUCCGCGCUGUGACCAAGUACUCCAGGUGAUCGCUCCACGAGUUCGUAUCCGCGCUGCCCCACGCAACACGGUGUACGUUUGCAUCAUAGCCAACCACAAGAGGGAGCCCACAGUACACUAUCAACUCAGCCAGUUCCCUGGUAGGAUCUAGUAUGAAGCUAUCUCUAGCUAUAAGAAAAAUAUAUUGCUAUGGAGUGGCUGCGCCUAUACGAGCGUGAGAUUUCGAAGACUCAUUUGAAGUCAGUGAUGGGCAUUUGCAACUCAUUUAAAUUUGAGAAAAAUCAUUCAAGGUGAAUAUCCUGGCGCCGUAGUCGAUGUCAUGAGUUUUAUUGGGAAAGACUGUAGGUCUCAGAAUGGGUGUGAAUUAGAAAAACCAGGUAGCGGAAAUUUUUUUGUUGGGAGAGAAUCGAGAGACAAUACGCGUUAAGCAACGAUAGCGUUUGCACCAAGCGGUUAAAAAAGGUUUAAGUUGACCACCCGUAAGUUUACACGGGGUGGUUUGUGAAGGAUUCACGUCGUAGCUCGAACAAUUAGCGCGAAAUGGUCAGCGAAGUUAAGUGAUAGGUGAAGUGAGGAACUUCUGGACUUUUAACGUGAAGAACCGUUACAACAACUCGUUGGAGACCAUGGUGUGAGGACACUUGAGCCACUACUGCAACUUCCAACAGCUUCUACCGCUCACUCGCCCUUCUUCUUAUAAUGUAAAGUACUAAAAUAUGUUCAGGUUCUGUUUUUUUGCCCCACAAAACGGCCAUCUGUAACUACUGUAACCGUAGAUACAUUAAUCAAGUUGUCAUUCUAUACGGUUCAAUGUUUUCCGAACAGAAGAUUCUCCCUGACCAUUAAAGCAUUCCACCUGACAAAAGUUCGACGAUACGAUAGGCGAAUUUAUUUACAAAAAAUCGUGUUUUAAUCAAUCGAGAAAAACGUAUAAAUAUUAAUAAACAAGCAAAACCUUUCAAGUAUCGCGAAACCAUACGCGGAAUUUUUUUGACUGUACGGCCAAAGUUGUUAAUGUCCCUCAUUUAUCUUCGUUAAUUCGGCAGAACAGCUUUAGCUCUUGCAUCCUCUAUUUUGGCAAACCGCAAGAGUGCAAGGUCGUAGGAGGCGAUAAAAAUUCAACUGAACUGCAGGUCACAGCUCGCUAGAUGACAACAACCCGGUUAUUCAACCACUGAGGAGGUGCGUAAGAGGCCGAAGAACACUUCAUUACGAAUUCUCCUCGCGAAUUUUGAUUAAUACUUAUUGGGCAAAAAAAAUCAGUGAGCCAGUCCAUCACCGGUACGAUGAUUUACGAGGAAGCAUUAAAUCAAAAAUCUCGAAGGUGUUUCGAAUACACGCUACCGAAUUUUCCUUAACAAUGUAUAAGUGAUGGUCUUCGAAAAUGUGCUACACGCAAUUUAAAUGCAAAUCACACUUUACAUUCCAAAAUUCAGGCCGUAUAUUAUAUUUUUGUGAACGCAAACAUGUUAUGAUAGGUGACUAUGCCAAUUUGUUCGUUUGAAUCGAACGAAGUAUGACACAUCGAGCCUUUAGGUCAACCUGCGCGCAUUUUGUUCCACGCGAUAAAUAAAAUUCUUUAAAUAGUUUUCAUGUUAAUUUAUUCGUCUUGUUAAUAUUCCGAUACGUGCUUUCAAUUACUUUUCAGAUGGAUCCUCCUUAUGUCCGGAGACGGGUGUAUUUAAAUCAGGUCCAUUGAACAAAUCUGAGAAGAAUAACUUCAAAAAAGUCUAUUAGUGUAAAAACUAUUAGAAACUCUCGUAACACCUAUGCAGUCCCCAAGCGUUUCGGAAGACGACUGGUCCUAGUGAAUGGACUUAGGAGUCGUUAUUAGUAUUGGCUUUACUGUUGUAUGUCUGGACACUAUUGACCCGGCUGGGCUUAGUUCGGUCGAUGGAAGAUUUUGGAGAACAGAGUGAGGUAGUGGCGAAAUCAUCGACCUAGACCCUAGACAGUUCUGUAAAAGGCGACUAGAAGGUGGUUUGCAAGGAAAGAACGUUAUUCAGAGCAACCAGAUGUUUGCCUCACUGGGCAUAAAAUAAAAUUGAACCUCUUAGGCUAGUCAUUGGAGAUUUUUAUCUGGAAAAUAAGUCCGGAAGUUUUGAAACUUUGUAGGUUUAUAGGUUUUGGGAUCUAGAACUAAAUUCACAGAAUGCACAAUCCGAGACAUGCCGCCGGCGCCGCCAUCUUGCCAAGAUGGCGCCCAAAAACGGUUUUUGCAAAUAUCUCCAAAACUAUGCGUGUUUCGAAAAAGUAUGUAGAGCGAAAAAUUAAAGAGGAGGAAGUUUCCUAUGAAAUAUGUUCCUAGUAAAUAUUUAUCACGAAAUAAUGGCAUAUCUUUUAUUCAAUUAAUCAAUUAAUUCAUUAAUUAAUCCAUGUUAAUAAUUUAUGAUCAAUUAAUUCUGAUUUCAAAUGCUAUACUUGUUUCCACACCACCCAAGAGGUAGAGUACACGGCGCGUUUUUUUAACGUGGUUUCCCCUGUAGGCCUAAUCCACUUAGGUACUAAAAUUAUCUUUGGCAAAGGCCAAACGGACCUUGCUCGUUGAUUUCCAUAUCUUCAACGGGGAAAAUGGUUACCUCAGCUUCAGAAUCGAAGUCGAUUUCCUUCAACUCGUCGGACUCUCCUUCCGGACUCUCCUUCUGCAGUAGAAUGCAGCAGCGAAUGGAGAUCUUCCUCAUCGGAUUCGUCCAGUGUCACUUGGCUAAUAUUUUCACAAGUCUUCCCAUUGCAGUUGCAGACACCUCAAAUCCUUGAACAAUCUCAAUCCUGCUUUCCUGCAUCCGCAGGCUCUACCACAAGCCGCCUUGCACUUACAAGAUAAAAAAGCAAGUAGUAGUGCUUUGGGAGCAGGAUAUCUUUUAAAGUAGUUACUGGAGUGAGGCCAGUUUGUGUUCUUCCAACCCCAUUCUUUAACUACUUUCGGACAGCCACGCCAUAGUUGAACCUGAUAGUAUGUUCUCAAUGAAUGCUGUCGUGCAGCUGCGCUUGUCGGUGGUAAGGAUGCCAAAUUAAAUUUACUUUUUGCUACCGACUUCACAAAACACAGGUAUCGAUAUUUAUCAAGAUUGAUCUCAUUGUGUCUUUGGAUCCAUAGAGUACAAGGAAAAAUUUCCCACCGACACAGGCAACUUCAUCAGCGGUAGCAUGUUUAUUUUUAAAAACUUGAAUAUGAUCUUGUAACUCUUUAUGUUUUUGUAAUGUUGUUAAAAACUUCAUUUUUCCUUGGUUAAAUAAGGCCGACGUCGUAUCACACCCACUUAUUGAGUGAAGGAACAAGAUGUUAUCCUUCACUACUUCGGUUCCUUUGAAACUUUGACGGGUAAAUAGCCAGCGCCCUCUGUUGGAGCUUUAUUGCAGGUGUGCACAUCGACAUCUGCACUUAUGCUAGGAAUGUGCCGGUUUGUCAGUAAAUUAUAAAUAUAACGAGAAACCAAUUGAAUAGCCCGUUUUACUAUAAAAGAUAAAUUUAUACGCAUAGGUAUAUGGAGAUAGGGGCAGUUUAUAGAAAUUAACAGAAUAUGUUGUCAUUCAAUCACCUCUUGAGCCUAAACGGCUCACUUUAGCAAAAAUAUGCUAAGAAGAUUUCUUGUAGAAAAUUCCUGCCUCUUCAAUUUUGAUAUCAACAUAUUUUUUCGAA